This 18-nucleotide small nuclear RNA is filed under the name Arabidopsis thaliana (thale cress). RNAcentral describes it as "snRNA_17469". The record is from RNAcentral. Lineage: Eukaryota; Viridiplantae; Streptophyta; Magnoliopsida; Brassicales; Brassicaceae.
UGAUUUUUUUAUUCCCUC